UUAACUAUUAUAUAGUACUCAGACAUCACUAAACAAACGAAUUUGGAUCCUCUGGCAAGCGCGGUCAGCGUGAGCCGACGCCCGAAAGCGGCUUGCCAAAGCAACAAAGGUAUGUAUACACGGUUUGGGAAUAGAACCCAUUUCAAAAAACGGGACAUUCUUUAAUGAUCCUUCCGCAGGUUCACCUACGGAAA
RNAcentral lists this unclassified non-coding RNA (194 nucleotides) under uncultured fungus. RNAcentral describes it as "sequence contains ITS1". The record is from RNAcentral. Lineage: Eukaryota; Fungi.